This 467-nucleotide ribosomal RNA is filed under the name uncultured bacterium. RNAcentral describes it as "partial 16S ribosomal RNA". It matches the Rfam family "Bacterial small subunit ribosomal RNA", at positions 29 to 507 of the family's 1533-position model. The record is from RNAcentral.
ACGAACGCUGGCGGCGUGCUUAACACAUGCCAGUCGAACGGAAAGGCCCUGCUUUUGUGGGGUGCUCGAGUGGCGAACGGGUGAGUAACACGUGAGUAACCUGCCCUUGACUUUGGGAUAACUUCAGGAAACUGGGGCUAAUACCGGAUAGGAGCUCCUGCUGCAUGGUGGGGGUUGGAAAGUUUCGGCGGUUGGGGAUGGACUCGCGGCUUAUCAGCUUGUUGGUGGGGUAGUGGCUUACCAAGGCUUUGACGGGUAGCCGGCCUGAGAGGGUGACCGGCCACAUUGGGACUGAGAUACGGCCCAGACUCCUACGGGAGGCAGCAGUGGGGAAUGUUGCACAAUGGGCGGAAGCCUGAUGCAGCAACGCCGCGUGCGGGAUGACGGCCUUCGGGUUGUAAACCGCUUUCGCCUGUGACGAAGCGUGAGUGACGGUAAUGGGUAAAGAAGCACCGGCUAACUACGUG